Molecule: ribosomal RNA, 267 nt
Filed under: uncultured bacterium
Lineage: Bacteria
Description: partial 16S ribosomal RNA
Rfam family: Bacterial small subunit ribosomal RNA
Source: RNAcentral
UGGGUUAGUGGCGGACGGGUGAGUAACGCGUGGGUAACCUGCCUUACACAGGGGGAUAACACUUAGAAAUAGGUGCUAAAAACCGCAUAAGCGCACAGCUUCGCAUGAAGCGGUGUGAAAAACUCCGGUGGUGUAAGAUGGACCCGCGUCUGAUUAGCUUGUUGGCGGGGUAACGGCCCACCAAGGCGACGAUCAGUAGCCGGCCUGAGAGGGUGAACGGCCACAUUGGGACUGAGACACGGCCCAAACUCCUACGGAAGGCAGCAG